UCCGUAAAAUAAACGUGCAGUAUGAGAACCUGCUGCAGGUUCGGGUCUCACGCAGUGGGACAACGUUGGUAACAACGGCCCACAGGGCGAGCGUUAGUGAGUCAUCCUGCACGAUCCAGCU
Molecule: small RNA, 121 nt
Filed under: Tatumella citrea
Lineage: Bacteria; Pseudomonadati; Pseudomonadota; Gammaproteobacteria; Enterobacterales; Erwiniaceae
Description: RtT sRNA
Rfam family: RtT RNA
About the family: This family represents a bacterial cis-regulatory element known as RtT RNA.
Source: RNAcentral